UGCCGCACCGAGUGGACGUGUUGCUGCAGUUCCACCAGACAGACCGCCGCUGCUGUUGGUUGCUGCUCCCGCUAGGUGCUGGCGAGGUGGAUGCAUUCGAGUGUGUGUGUAACGUGACACGUGGUGUGACGGGUAUUGCAUGUGUGGUCUGUUGUGUUUGUGCAGGUUGAAAUGUGCGAGCUUUAUAUGCGAGUUUUACAUUAGCUUAUCAUUCGUUUAAACCAGAAGACAAACGUGGAUAACCAAAGUUCCCUGAUUGGAUUAACACGUCUGGAUUCACCGCUUCCAUUGCCUAUGAUGUCAGCCUCCUGUUCCUCCGAACCUUCCAGCACCGGUUCGUCCGCUUUGCAGGAUCUGUCAGAUCCUGUCUCACCGGUGCUUGGAAUCUCUUCUUCGCUGUCUCUGGCCGCAACUUCAGCCGGAGUAUCCGUGGAGAUGUCGUGGGAGACGAAGCCACUCAACUCGCUGUUUGACUGUAAGGUAGCUGACAUGCCUCCGGUUGUAUCUACGUCACCUGCCUCUUCAGGGAGGUGUUCUUCCAGUGCGUGUUCUGCACGAUACAACAGAUUUAUAAUCUAUGGCACAUUCACUAACAGGACAGUGUUUGGGUACAACUACAAGCUUGCAAGGACGAAGUGUAUUAGCAAUACCACCAUAGUAGUUGAAAGUGAAAGAUUUUCUGAUUCAUUCGAUAUCCGAUUGGAGCUCCAGUUAAUUUAAGACGAGAGAAUAUAUUGUGUGGAUUUUACUUCGCAUUUUUUAUAAAAAGCAACUUUCAAUACCGUGAUUUUAUGUGAUAAUUAUGUAACAU
Cryptotermes secundus is the source of this 811-nucleotide RNA transcript. RefSeq lists it as uncharacterized. The transcript is spliced from 3 exons. The record is from RefSeq and is a predicted model, not a curated record. NCBI's taxonomy places the organism in Eukaryota, Metazoa, Arthropoda, Insecta, Blattodea, Kalotermitidae.